RNAcentral lists this long non-coding RNA (853 nucleotides) under Homo sapiens (human). Its description in RNAcentral is "HSALNT0398806". The record is from RNAcentral. Lineage: Eukaryota; Metazoa; Chordata; Mammalia; Primates; Hominidae.
AUCUAACAAGCGUUUCCAACUCGCCGAAUCAUUACUAGUGCAGGCAUUUUAUUCUAAGCUGCUUUUUACUAAAACGUGCUCUUGUCGCUCUGAACCUUUAGGACUACAAUACCCAGAAGUCUCUGGGAGUCGCCGAGCCCUGUAGUUUAGGGUUGUUUUGCGGCCAGCGAGACGCCGGAAGUCUGGGAAUAAGGCGGGACCAGGGAAAAAGCAGGAUUCCGAUUGGUGAAGAGGCCACAUGGCCUUCUUUAAAGGACGGGAUAGAGUUGCACACGCGCAUUGAGGCGUGUCUUCCCUGGUUCUGCGUCCGUGAAGCCUAGAGAUUCCCGAGCCUGGGUCACCCGGGCGGUGUCGCAUGUCGUCUGCGGGGAGGUUGGGGCUGCUCGCGCGAGGCGCUCUGGGUCUCAUUUCCGAGGCCGAAAAUGCUGGCUCCAAAGUGGUGCCCUGGGAGAUGAGGGCGACUCGCAGAUUCCACCCUAUUCUCUGAAUGGGCUUCGAGUCUCCAUGGUAACGGCCCCUCCCAGUUCCCCUGUGACUUCAUAGCUGCCCACGGGAGGGGAGAAAGCUGAUGUGAAGGGGCUGUGGGUUCUCAGCCAAGCUCUGUCUUUGAGGCCACCUACCCUAUACCACUCGUCCCGGAAAGGGUGGUGGUUGUGAGAAUUAAGGGAACCUCAGAGCAAUGGCCAGCACACAAUGACCCUUCAAAUGUCAGCGGCUUUGAUGAUCACCAUUCUUACCUUUUCUUUGGAGAUUUGGACAAGUUACCGCCCCACCUUCCUCCAGGGUCUUUGUGUAUUGAUCUGCAGGUUGGAUGUAUUGGAUGUUACGACCACUAAACUUUCUUCUGAGCACA